UAGAGCCUUCGCCUAUAAAAGUCAUUAAGAGUGUCCAUGUAAGGGGUCUUCUAUUUCAAUCAUCAGAAUUACCCCGUCGAAGACCUUCUCUCACUUUCCACAUCUGAAAAUUGGAAUCAAAACUCAAAAAUCAAAUAAAUCGAAAACAGAAGAAAAAUCAAAAAAAAUUCUAAUAUUCCAUUGAAGUUAGAGAUUGAUUUCAGUUUCUAUUUGUCAAUUCACAUUUUGUAAUUACUAUUGCUGCUUGUUGAAGUGUAGAGGUUCAUUUCAAGUGCAAUUGAAUCAAAUUAAGUGGGUUUUUCGGCUAAGUUUUGCACCAGUGAAGUUUCAUAAGGGUUUAAGUUCGGAUUUGAACUAGUUUGGGUAUUUUACUGGUUGUCUAUGCAUUGAUGUUCACUUGAUUGGUUUGUUGCUGUGUUGAAGUGGAUCUGCUAAACUCUGUUUGAUUUAAACAUUUCUGGGUUGCUCAUUCUAUUUCCUGGGCUGUUUUUAGUAUUGAACUGUUGUUGCUAUUCACCUGCUCCUCCUGACUCUUGUUUCUUCUUGCUGUGAUUUAAAAUCCAGGUACAUAUGCACUACCUAUACUGAUCUGGAGUGUAUGAAUUGUUUGAGAAAAUCAAUGAAGAAGAAGUUUGGUUUAUUUGUCUGACGUUCGUUGGAGUUUUGACCAGCUUUUCAUGUUUAGUUUAACUGUUCAUACUUAAUUGUGAUUAGAACAUUUGUUUGGACUAUUGAAUUUGUACCAUUUGGACCGAAAUGGAUGAAUUAAGAAUUAUUGGUAUUAUCUAAAUUUAACAUUGUGAGUUUGAGUGGUAAUUAAGUUCAUGUGGAGUUGGUAAAAUAAUCUAGGUUCAGCAUCAGUCAUUUCCCAUCCUAUGUUUCGUGGAUUUGCUUGGAAAGUGAUUCAAUGGUAGAAUAGCUUUUAAGUAGGUGAUUUUCGUUUUUGAUCUGUAAUUAAAAAGGGAAUUUGAAUAGUACAAUUCACGUCUACUAUGAUAACUGAAUAAUUUAGUCAUAUAGAGUGGGGUCCAGGUUAAAGUUAGAAUAUUUAUUUGUGUACAAAUCAUUAAGUCCAUAUGUGUGCCUUCUAGUCAUUAUCAAAAGAAAUC
This 1109-nucleotide long non-coding RNA is filed under the name Nicotiana benthamiana. Its description in RNAcentral is "long non-coding RNA (NBEN_LNC033257)". The record is from RNAcentral. Lineage: Eukaryota; Viridiplantae; Streptophyta; Magnoliopsida; Solanales; Solanaceae.